GAGGGAAUAUUGCGCAAUGGGCGAAAGCCUGACGCAGCAACGCCGCGUGAGGGAUGACGGCCUUCGGGUUGUAAACCUCUUUCAGGAGGGACGAAAUUGACGGUACCUCCAGAAGAAGCACCGGCCAACUACGUGCCAGCAGCCGCGGUAAUACGUAGGGUGCAAGCAUUGUCCGGAUUUAUUGGGCGUAAAGAGCUCGUAGGCGGCUUAACAAGUCGGUCGUGAAAUACCGAGGCUCAACCUCGGGGAGUCGGUCGAUACUGUUAUGGCUAGAGUACGGUAGAGGAGAGUGGAAUUCCCGGUGUAGCGGUGGAAUGCGCAGAUAUCGGGAGGAACACCAGUAGCGAAGG
This 350-nucleotide ribosomal RNA is filed under the name uncultured bacterium. RNAcentral describes it as "bacterial SSU rRNA". It matches the Rfam family "Bacterial small subunit ribosomal RNA", at positions 355 to 721 of the family's 1533-position model. The record is from RNAcentral.